Labeo rohita (rohu) is the source of this 405-nucleotide long non-coding RNA. RefSeq lists it as uncharacterized. The record is from RefSeq and is a predicted model, not a curated record. The transcript has 2 exons. Lineage: Eukaryota; Metazoa; Chordata; Actinopteri; Cypriniformes; Cyprinidae.
AUGGAGGCCAUGACGUCAUUCUGAAGUGAGAAGGUGUAUAGAAAAAAUAAAAGAGAAAGCAAGCCUGUGGAAUAAUUAUAUAAAAGAGGGAGGUGAAUCAGGAAAUAGCUCUCGGUUUGGGAAACACAUCGAGCGAGAGGGAGCUUUGCCACAAUUUAAAUUAAAACAGGGUUUGAGAAAAAGCAGGGAGGAAAUAAUGUGAAAUGGAAAGGCGAAAGAACAGCGGCAGGGCAGAUCUGGAUGUAAUACAGGGGAAGAGUAUUAAUCACCAUUACCAGGAAAAUAUCCACCCAAUAACACCAGAGAAGAACGUAGAGGAAGAGGGGAGCAACACUUUUCCACUGAUCAGAUCUGUGUAGAGAAGAUAUGCUUUUCCAGUUAGUUUUAAUAAACAAUCACAGUAGA